AAGAGGGAAGAGGGCAGGUCGCAGGGGAGUCUCGUGGCCUGGCUGGGAGAAGUGCAAGCUGAUAUGCUUCAGAAGAAUGUUCUCUCAACACUUAUAUCCCAAGCCUACUAUGUGCUAGGCAGCUCCAGGUACCCGGGUCCAUUGGUAAAUGUGACCGAGCUCUCAUGGAGCUCACCUCCCAGGGAGGGUAGAAAAGACAGUUUUUAAAUUAAUUACAGAAAGUAACAUGUGCUAAGAAGAGAAGUAAGGCAAUGUGUGAGGGCCCGAGGAGACUUCUCCAGGUGAGGUUGCUAGAAUACCUGUCAUCUGACAGAUGGGAAGAGCAC
Myotis brandtii (Brandt's bat) is the source of this 326-nucleotide long non-coding RNA. RefSeq lists it as uncharacterized. The record is from RefSeq and is a predicted model, not a curated record. NCBI's taxonomy places the organism in Eukaryota, Metazoa, Chordata, Mammalia, Chiroptera, Vespertilionidae. The transcript has 3 exons.